Chenopodium quinoa (quinoa) is the source of this 3081-nucleotide long non-coding RNA. RefSeq lists it as uncharacterized. Lineage: Eukaryota; Viridiplantae; Streptophyta; Magnoliopsida; Caryophyllales; Amaranthaceae. The record is from RefSeq and is a predicted model, not a curated record. The transcript has 3 exons.
UAUGAAACUAAACAAGGGCUCUCAAAUUGAUGUUUAAUCCAAAGUAUUUAGUUUAUUAUAAUUGAAUAUGAAACAUAAUUAAAAUAUAGCAAAGAUGGUAACAACAUCAAUUGAUUUCUUGUUGGUAUUGGGUCUGCUUCUCCUUUUACGGUUCUGGGUUUUAUGUGUUUUGAUUUGUGUUUAGAUCUACUAUGGUUUCUCCAAAUUCCAAUUUCACCAUUUCAAGGUAAGCUCUAACCCUAAUUUUUUAUUCUUAAUAAAAUCAUAAUUGUGGCCAUUGUGUUGUUCGAGUAUGGUGGGCUAAUUUUGGGUGGUUUUCGAGUGGGUUUGAGGGGCUAAUUUUGGGUAGGUUUCGAGUGGAUAUGGGGGGAGGGGGGGGCUAAUUUCAGGUUUGUUUCGAGUGGGUGUGGGGGUUGAAUUAUUGCGGUGGUGGAAUUUCAUGCAUGUGUUAUUGGAUUGAUUUUUAAUGGAUUUACUUGUGAAUUUGUUCUAUGUUUGAGUGAUUUUUGCGAAUUGAGGUUAAUUGGAAGAAAUUAAGGGUUUCCUGAUUUCUCGAGGCUGUUUGUGGAAUUUUGGGGGAAUUAGAGAUGGAUAGGGUUGCGGUGGUGGUUUCGUGGGUGAUGUGUUUCUUGGAUUAUUGUAUGUUCUUGCUGCGGUAUGGUGUUACGGUGUUUUUUUGCUGUAAUUUUUUGUUGCUGUGUUUGGUGCUGUGUCUUCUGGUGCCUCUGAUGUGUGCUCGGUGAUGCUGCUGCGUGUUGCUUGUUUUGCUGCGUUUUUGUUGCAGCAUCGUUUCUUCUUUCUGUGGUGUAUCUGUGGCCCGCUACUUGUGUAUGUGUGGGCGGUAAAAUUGCUAUUCGAUACUCCGCUUUCUUCUGUUAUUUAUUUCAGAGUUGAGGAUGGGUGAUGAAUGUAUUAUAUUUUAUGUAAGGCUAGAUUGUUUCUUGUCUUUGAAUGUGGCUUAUGCGUUGUUAUGCAUGGUCCAAGUUGGAAACUUAAUGACUUGGUGAUUUCUGUGUUAUGCAUUGUUAUGCAUGGUCCAAGUCCCUUCUGUCAUAGAUUCAUAGGUGGCAUUGCCUUAUUAUUUUGAUGCUGCCUUGUGCUAUUUUGUGUUGAAAACAAGUCAUUAAUGUUCAUACUGUUACUUGUAUUUUUAUUAAAAAGGUCUAACAUAGUUAACACAAGUCAUUUCUUUGGUUGCAGCUGUGUGAUGGGUCCAUUGUCGCAUUCAAAGUUCUUCACAAUGUGAAUUGCAAUCAUGGAUUUAUAUACGUGACCUCAUAGGGUUUGCUUAAAAUUUGCCAGCUGCCAUCUGGACUAAGUUACGACAAUUACUGGCCCAUGCAGAAAAUUCCAUUGAAGGGCACUCCCCAUCAAGUCACCUACUUUGCUGAUAAGAAUUUAUACCCACUUAUUGUUUCGUUUCCUGUGAGUUCCUGUAACCUUUGUUCUUUCAUGAGUAUUAAAGCUUUUGCUUGUUAGAAAUUUGUUGGUUGAAGAGUCGGUAGCUUAAAUGUUCCAUAUUGUAACUUUGUUGAUUAAGCAUCAAUUUAUUGAUAAUCCUUGGUUCAUUCCCCUCAUUUGUGUAUGUUGCACUUAUUUUUGCUUUCAGUAUUGGCGAGUCUGUUAGUCAGUGCCUUGCAUAGCACAUGCUUUAAUCCAGCAGAUAAACCAUAAAUCGAUAACUUCUAGCUGUAAGUGAGCGGGAACAUCUUGAUAGGUUAAAUCAAAACAGUCCCUUCUGUCAUAGAUUCAUAUAUAGGUGGCAUUGCCUUAGUAUUUUGAUGCUGCCUUGUGCUAUUUUGUGUUGAAAACAAGUCUGGCAUUGUACUAAUAUGCUUCUUUCCUUCCUAUUUUCUACUGCUUUCUUCUCAAUGUACUUUGAUAGGUGAAUUAUAAUCUGAAAGGUGCUUCUAAUAUAUGUCAUGCAACAUGAUUCUAUGCUGCAAAAUUCGUUUUACUGUCACUGUCUAUGAUUCUAAUACAUCUAUGUGGAGAAGCUCAAGUACUGUGACUGUCUGGGUAAUGACAAGGUAAUUCGUUUUUCUGCUUGAUUUUAUGUUCAGUGAUUGAUAAUUGUAAUAGUGAUAGAUUAUAAAAUGGUGAGCAUACCAUGGCAUUAUCACCUUAUCAAGUUGUCUGUUCCGAAGACAUCUCCUUCAAAUUUGGUAUUCAUAGUGUCUGAACUUGUUGCAUCUGUGUCUUUCUAGAGGAAGUGGUAAUAGUGAUAGAUUAUAAAUUGGUGCAGCCUAAAUGGUAUGACAGGCUUUUGGUUCUCGCUGUGUAGGGAGUUUUCUUCAACUGUUAUGUUGUACUCUAUUUGCUUUCCCCUAAGCUGGCUCACAGAGUGGUUGGUUACUUGGAAGAAGAGGCAAUACAUUCAUACACAGAGUAUCUGAAGGACAUAGACAGUGGUGCGAUUGAAAAUGUGCACGCUCCUGCUACUGCCAUUGACUACUGGAGGCUGCCAAAGAAUGCUAUUUUGAAGGAUGUUAUAACUGUAAUCCGUGCUGACGAAGCUCACCAUCGUGAUGUCAACCAUUUUGCUUCUUUGAGUACCGAAAUUAUUACUUGUUUUACUGAUCCAUGGGCCUGCUAAUGAACUGUCUUCCUGUCUUUUAUCAGAUAAUUUUGCAUUUAGACAUCUGCCUUCUGUCACCUGAUCAGCUAUGGCAGUAUUCUGUUAUCAACUUACCAUAUAACUCUUUAAUUGGUGUUGAACUGAUGAAGUAUAUGUUUUCGCCAUGCAGGAUGUGCACUUUCAGGGCAGGCAACUGAAGAAGCACCGACUCCUGUUGGUUAUCAUUAGAGCAAUACAUAAGUCUGCAUAUUGCCACGUAUAUGAGCUCCUAAAGGAUACAGGCGCGUAAAUCCUUGCAAAGCUUCUUAAAUACAGAGUGAUUGCUUAUUAGAAAUCAUAAUUAGAUUAACACCCUUUACAAGUCUCAUUUUUAUAUUUUUUGGUCCGGUUGAUCUGUUUAGUUGUGUUUGUGCGAUGCAUUUGUUACUCCUGUGGGUUUGUAAUAAGUAUAGGCGUGCGCAAUUCUUGAGUUUAUAUACAUACAUAUGAAAAGAGGAUCAAAA